AACCCAGGGGUAUUUUUCUCUAACGUUUCACACGUUAGAGGAAAAUACCCCUGGGUU
This 57-nucleotide microRNA precursor is filed under the name Nematostella vectensis (starlet sea anemone). RNAcentral's name for it is "mir-2041 microRNA precursor family". It matches the Rfam family "mir-2041 microRNA precursor family". The record is from Rfam by way of RNAcentral. Lineage: Eukaryota; Metazoa; Cnidaria; Anthozoa; Actiniaria; Edwardsiidae.